AUUGAACGCUGGCGGCAGGCUUAACACAUGCAAGUCGAGCGGAGAUGAGGUGCUUGCACCUUAUCUUAGCGGCGGACGGGUGAGUAAUGCUUAGGAAUCUGCCUAUUAGUGGGGGACAACAUUCCGAAAGGAAUGCUAAUACCGCAUACGUCCUACGGGAGAAAGCAGGGGAUCUUCGGACCUUGCGCUAAUAGAUGAGCCUAAGUCGGAUUAGCUAGUUGGUGGGGUAAAGGCCUACCAAGGCGACGAUCUGUAGCGGGUCUGAGAGGAUGAGCGGCACAACUGGGACUGAGACACGGCCCAGACUCCUACGGGAGGCAGCAGUGGGGAAUAUUGGACAAUGGGGGGAACCCUGAUCCAGCCAUGCCGCGUGUGUGAAGAAGGCCUUAUGGUUGUAAAGCACUUUAAGCGAGGAGGAGGCCACUGAGACUAAUACUCUUGGAUAGUGGACGUUACUCGCAGAAUAAGCACCGGCUAACUCUGUGCCAGCCGCCGCGGUAA
This 501-nucleotide ribosomal RNA is filed under the name uncultured bacterium. Its description in RNAcentral is "partial 16S ribosomal RNA". It matches the Rfam family "Bacterial small subunit ribosomal RNA", at positions 30 to 523 of the family's 1533-position model. The record is from RNAcentral.